GGAGGGAUUCCCGAGUUGGCCAAAGGGGGCAGACUGUAAAUCUGUUGUCAGUGACUUCAGAGGUUCGAAUCCUCUUCCCUCCACCA
This 86-nucleotide transfer RNA is filed under the name Isachenkonia alkalipeptolytica. Its description in RNAcentral is "tRNA-Tyr". It matches the Rfam family "tRNA". From Rfam's summary of the family: Transfer RNA (tRNA) molecules are approximately 80 nucleotides in length. Their secondary structure includes four short double-helical elements and three loops (D, anti-codon, and T loops). The record is from RNAcentral. Lineage: Bacteria; Bacillati; Bacillota; Clostridia; Eubacteriales; Clostridiaceae.